GGAGCAAAACCGGCCUUAAAUUUCCAAAAGAACAAUGGAAGAGUCUCAAGGGAUUCUGCUAAAAUCCUUGAGCACUUUCGGUGUUUCGAUCCCGGGAACGUUUCGGCAUUAGAGAUUUAACUCCGAAAACGUUGAUUUCCGUCUGCUGCCAAUCACUUAACAUCAUCGGAAACAACGAAGACGACGAUCAAAACGACGUGUCAUUUACCGAUUCAGUUGAAGAUUAUGUCUCCAUGGCUGACAAGUUCAAGAUCUGUUCCGACAUCUCACUGGCUUUUAAGAAUCUGGGUUAUGUUGGUGACAUGAGCUAUCACAAGUUCUUAUAUCCAUCAGAAGAGGAGUUAUAUAAGCUGGUAAGAUUUUUGGUGGAGAAGCUUUCCGGUUCAUCUGAAGCUGUAAAAGUUUAUGGGAAAUGAAAGGCUGAUUUGAGACAGAAAUUAAAGGAAGAUAACCUAGAGAAAGUUUCGGAGUCUUUUACUCAGAAUCUGGAUAAGGAAGAGGUCCAUCAAAUUCUUCAAAAGGUUGAA
Molecule: long non-coding RNA, 527 nt
Organism: Hibiscus syriacus
Lineage: Eukaryota; Viridiplantae; Streptophyta; Magnoliopsida; Malvales; Malvaceae
Exons: 5
Source: RefSeq, a predicted model, not a curated record